CCUACGGGAGGCAGCAGUGGGGAAUAUUGGACAAUGGGCGAAAGCCUGAUCCAGCCAUGCCGCGUGUGUGAAGAAGGCCUUCGGGUUGUAAAGCACUUUCAGUGGGGAAGAAAGCCUUGGGGCUAAUACCCUCGAGGAAGGACAUCACCCACAGAAGAAGCACCGGCUAACUCCAUGCCAGCAGCCGCGGUAAUACGGAGGGUGCGAGCGUUAAUCGGAAUUACUGGGCGUAAAGCGCGCGUAGGCGGUCUGAUAAGCCGGUUGUGAAAGCCCCGGGCUCAACCUGGGAACGGCAUCCGGAACUGUCAGGCUAGAGUGCAGGAGAGGAAGGUAGAAUUCCCGGUGUAGCGGUGAAAUGCGUAGAGAUCGGGAGGAAUACCAGUGGCGAAGGCGGCCUUCUGGACUGACACUGACGCUGAGGUGCGAAAGCGUGGGUAGCAAACAGGAUUAGAUACCCCUGUAGUC
This 465-nucleotide ribosomal RNA is filed under the name Vreelandella stevensii. RNAcentral describes it as "partial 16S ribosomal RNA". It matches the Rfam family "Bacterial small subunit ribosomal RNA", at positions 338 to 795 of the family's 1533-position model. The record is from RNAcentral. Lineage: Bacteria; Pseudomonadati; Pseudomonadota; Gammaproteobacteria; Oceanospirillales; Halomonadaceae.